Long non-coding RNA from Gallus gallus (chicken), 1229 nucleotides. The record is from Ensembl. NCBI's taxonomy places the organism in Eukaryota, Metazoa, Chordata, Aves, Galliformes, Phasianidae.
CUUUCUCCCUGUACACAGGACCAAAAGUGCAGGCACAUCAUUUAUUGAUAAGACAAAAAGAAUGUAAUGAAAUUAUCAAUGUUCUUGAAUUAAUUAUGAACAUGAUUAAGAAAGCUAAAAUCUCAGGAGCCAGGAUCUCAUUACCCAUUCAGUCUUAGGGAUUGCUUUCAUUCAGCAAGGCAAAAAGGCUUUGAGCAGUCCCACAAUUGCCUUAGUCUCAUUUAUUUGUGGUAGUAUUAAGGUUUAUUUGUUUUCUGGUUUGCACUUCUUCUGAAAUUAUUUCUUAGUUUAUUCAUUUAACAAAAUGUUCCUUCCUAUGUCAAAGAAGAAAGUGCCUACAAGGCCUAGAUAGGUUCUUCAGUCUGCAGACCUCCCUUUGAGAACAUUUCUUCCAACUCACAUUGCUGGAGCUCCUAAAUAUCUUUCAAGGGCUCCUCCAUUCUUUGAAGCUCAAGAAAUAUAUCACAGUUGUUUUUUUGGGGGGAUCAGGCUCUUCUCUGCAUGAUUUCUGCAUCAGCCAUUCCGGAAAUUUGAAGAUGAGUUGUCUGCAAAAAGAAAAAGAAACAAAACUUCUCUUGUGAAACUUUCUCACCUUUCUGACUGGAUGAAGACAGGUCCUGAAACAUGCCGGGCUGAGAAGAGCUACUCAAAAAAAUAAUUGAACAUGCUGGCCUAUUUACUUACUAUUUACUUUACUUCUUACUUAAGAAGUUCCAAGAAUAUCACUGCUAAGAGUCCUGGCUCAAGCCCUGCAAUGAUGUCAACAACAAAUAACAUUUCCAGUCCAGGAUGAACAUAUGCAUCCAUUUUUUCAGCAAGGAGUAGAAGUUUCAGGAGGUUGUCAAUUUGAAGAUAUUCUCAUCUUAAUCAUUACAUCAUUUGCUUUGUUCAUUAUUAUCCAGGUGACACCAAGGAAUUGCAUAAAUAAGGAAUACUGCCACGUACAUCAUGUUCACCACAGAGGAAGAAGCUGUAAGGAGCAACACCUGGAUUGCCAGCCCUUCCUACUAUUCCCUCAGGCCAUGCACACUGGCCUCUAGCCAGCAGCUGCCUCCCAGGAUCACACUGCCUGCAUGUCUGUGUGCAGCAGCACAACCCUUCUCUAUAACUGUGUCAUCUGGGCCACUUCCAUCAAUUCUCCACUGAUCUGCCAGAUCAAGAGCUGUCUCUGGAACAAAGAACAUGCAGGGAAAAUGGGUUUGGGGUGCCUCUCUGAUUUCUGUGUGUGC